GGUCAGGUGGUGUGAUGGUUAACACCUGCUAUAUAUGCAGAAGCCCUGGGUUCAAUGCCCAGUCUGGCCA
Molecule: non-coding RNA, 70 nt
Organism: Hysterangium stoloniferum
Lineage: Eukaryota; Fungi; Basidiomycota; Agaricomycetes; Hysterangiales; Hysterangiaceae
Source: the annotation of a GenBank genome assembly